This 252-nucleotide ribosomal RNA is filed under the name uncultured prokaryote. RNAcentral's name for it is "partial 16S ribosomal RNA". It matches the Rfam family "Bacterial small subunit ribosomal RNA", at positions 524 to 776 of the family's 1533-position model. The record is from RNAcentral.
UACGUAGGGGGCGAGCGUUGUCCGGAUUUAUUGGGCGUAAAGGGUCCGGAGGCGGUCGUUGAAGUUUCGCGUGACAGUCCUCGGCUUAACUGAGGAAGGAUGCGGAAACUAGAAUGCUAGAGGGUGGGAGAGGUAAGCGGAAUUCCUGGUGUAGCGGUGAAAUGCGUAGAUAUCAGGAGGAACACCUGUGGUGUAGACAGCUUACUGGACCACUUCUGACGCUGAGACACGAAAGCGUGGGUAGCAAACAGG